This is a long non-coding RNA of Dermochelys coriacea (leatherback sea turtle), 3166 nucleotides long. RefSeq lists it as uncharacterized. NCBI's taxonomy places the organism in Eukaryota, Metazoa, Chordata, Testudines, Dermochelyidae. The transcript has 5 exons. The record is from RefSeq and is a predicted model, not a curated record.
GCUUGGGGGGGGGGGAGUUGCUGAGACUUAAAAGACCAGAGAACCAAAGUAAGGGAGACCCUGCCCAGCAUUUAAGGACUGAGGGUAACCGUACUCAAGGGGGAAGAGGAAUUGAAGCCAGUAUUUUUUGGCAACACAUGUGAUAUGUAUGUCACAGCUGUGGGACCCACAUGCCAAACUCUGGAAUGUGUUUUACCAGCAGCAGCAUGUGGGCCUAUGUUCCUCCCUUGCUUGCUGGCUGAUUCCAGCUUCUGCUCUGGUUUCACUGCAAGCUGUGGACUUGCAUAAGAGUUUUAACCAAGAAGGCCGGUGGUGAUUGGACUUCUAACAUAGUGAAUGUCAGUGAAAAUGAGGAGGACCACCUCACCCGGGAACCACUUGCUAAGCACAAAGGGACCUAGAUCUACUGCUCCAAACAUGAGAGAGUAAUGUAUUUCAAUGGGAGCAUAUAUGUCCUCCAGGGGGCCCUCACCUCAAGGUUCCUGGACUACAUUGUCUCAGAUCAAGACCCCCAAUUCACCUUGUGCUUCUGGUGGCUACUGGAAAUCCGCACUUCUACCUCCACUGCUUACCAUCUCCAAACAGAUGGGCAGGCUGAUAGGGUGAAUCAGGUACUGGAACAGCACCUCAGAUACUUCACUAACUAUCACCAAGAUAACUGGUACAAAUACUUGCUGAGUUUUCCUACAAUAAUGCAGACCAUACCUUGACAGGACAGAGCUUUCUUCACAAAUUAUGAGUUCCACCCCUGAUUCCAUCUGGCACUAUCAGCAGCAUUGCUGAACCCAGCUGCUGCCAAGAAAUCAUAUCCAGGAGGACCACUCAGAGAAUGCGUAGAGAGCUUACAAGCAGUAUGCUGACCUGUGGUGCUGGAAGGCCCUGGCCCUCUCUGUAGGCCAGAAGGUCUGGCUUGCUUUGAAGCAUCUGCUGUUCAGUAGAUCCUCCUGCAAGCUGGACCACCAGUUCCUGGGAUCUUUCUGGAUAUGCCAGCAAGUCAACCCUGUUGCUUUCAAAGCUUCUCCAAUCCCUCAAGAUAGAUCCCAUGUUCCACAUGUUCCUCCUAAAAUCCUAUGCUGAGGACCCCUUCCCUGGCUGAACCAUGCCUCCGCCCCGAGGGUCAAAGUCUAAGAUCAUGAAGAAUAUGUGGUGCACAUCAUCCUUAAUUCUAAAUGCACCUGAGGAUGACUAUACUAUUUUGUACAUUGGGAAGGAUACAGAUCCAAAGAGUGCACUUGGGAACCUGCCUCCUAUGUCCACGCCUCUGACCUAGUGAGAGAGUUUCACAAGGCUCAUCCAGACAAGUCUGGACUGUUCUAGCCUGAAAAAGAGGGGUUGCCAGGGAAAGGGUGUUGGGCCUAGAACCAGAGACUGUGGCAAGCACCACUUCCUCAUUGCCAUUAGGGUUCUGGGGGUGGCGGUUGCCACUGAGAAGUACUGUGAGGCUAAGUCUUUCAGGAAGUCCCGCCCUAAGGCGCAUGAAUGACAGCUCUUUGUGAUUCACUGAUUGGCUGUCACUCUCCAUAUAAACCAGGAAGCCAUUUCUGGGAGUUAUCUGAGUGAUGCAGAGCUCUGGUAUACUUUUAUCCUAAAACUUCCCUUGCCUGGAUCCCAGACUCUGGGCUCUCAACCUUGGCCCAGCUCCCAACACUGAUCAAUGUUUACUGUCUUUGGCUUAGGACCACUGCAGAUCCUGGUGAAAGACCCAGCCUGGCCUGGCCUGGCCCCAAAUCUUGCCACAGGCUCUGAAUUUAAUACCACACUCUAACGCUGAGGUUUUUGAGCUGGCCUGGUUCCAGACUGAUCUUCAACUCUUCGGCCCAGAUACAGAGCAGCUCAGCCUGUGCCCACAGGCCACCCAUGACACAGCCCUGACACAUUGCCCUAUACCAUGAAAAUUAUGAGACAACCUCUAUUCAGUUACAACCGUGCAACUCUGAUUUAUUGAGGUGCUGAGCCAUUUAUUGAGUUGGUGCUGUGCUUGGUAUCUAAGGGGUUAAGGUCAGCAUAGUGGUUUUUUUUUUCUCUGUUCACCAGUUGUUCCCACAGGACAUCAUGAGGAACUGAAAAAAAUAGCACACAGAAAAUUUUCAAGGCACAGUAGUGUCUGGUAAAGCAGGUCACUAGCUAUGCAAGGGCCAGCUCUUUUCUCUUUUCUGAUGCAGGUAAUGCUCUCAAUGAGAGCAAUGGGCCAAAUUCUGAAAUAUUUACUGCAUUCAUACUUGGUCAUACCUCUCACUGAGGUCAAUGGGAAGGAAUCUGAGUAAAAUGUAUUUGCCAGAUAGCUGUAUUUCCAUAGUAUGAUUCAGAGACAGAACUCAGCUAACUGUUUCCCAGAACGGCCAUAGGUGACCUUCUUUAUCAUACAGACAUCAGCACAAUACAUCACUGACCUCAGAAGAGGUGAAGCCAAGUAGAGAAAAGAACAACCCCAGGGGAAAGCAAAAACUAUUUAUAUCAAAUAAUAGAAAUUGGACGACCUUAUACUAGGCAGCUCACAUGUAAAUCUUUUAAAGCCUUCCACUCUAGAUUUCUUACAUUUAAAAGAAUAUAUACAAAAUGAACACGUUUCUUCUUUUUCUGAGCCUGAAAAAUGAUUGACAAAAUGAUAGCUCUUCUGUGACAAUAUGAAGUGAUAUUGAAAUUAGAAAUGACCUUAUUGUUUUGCAAAUUUGUUCAGCAAAAUAUACAUAAUAAAUAAUCCUUAGCUUUCAAAUAGCUGAUUUUGCUGUGUUGCAGGAGAACUAGCAUUAUGAUCAUGACUGAACAAGAAAGGUUUUGCUCUCAUAUAAAACUAAAGGUACUGCUGUUAGCAGCACACAGUUGCACCUGUUGAAAUAUUGUAGCAGCUCUUUAGGUAACUCAUAACAAAAGUGUAUGCUCUCAUACUUGCCAAUUGUUAUCUCUUACACAAGUCCUGAAUUCUACUCUAGUAGGGGUUUAGGUCAGGUUCCACAUGAUUAUUUCAGGUAUGGGCCUAUGAUAACAGCAACUUUUCAGCUGAUAAGGAACAGGCAUUUAUUUGAUGCUGACUAGAGAGAAGAUUACAUGCCUUAUUUGUAUCUCAACCCAUUUGGAUGUUAUAUGUUGCUCUCAUUUUAAUAUAGAGGAUUUAUACAUGUGGGCUGAUUUCCAUCAAGGUUGGGGCAUGGAGGAGGUCUGUCAUAAU